UACGGAGGAGGCAAGCGUUAUCCGGAAUUAUUGGGCGUAAAGCGUCCGCAGGUGGCAAUUCAAGUCUGUCGUCAAAGACCGGGGCUUAACCCCAGAAAGGCGGUGGAAACUGAACAGCUAGAGUGCGGUAGGGGUAGAGGGAAUUCCCGGUGUAGCGGUGAAAUGCGUAGAGAUCGGGAAGAACAUCGGUGGCGAAAGCGCUCUACUGGACCGCAACUGACACUGAGGGACGAAAGCUAGGGGAGCGAAUGGG
RNAcentral lists this ribosomal RNA (253 nucleotides) under uncultured prokaryote. Its description in RNAcentral is "partial 16S ribosomal RNA". It matches the Rfam family "Bacterial small subunit ribosomal RNA", at positions 524 to 776 of the family's 1533-position model. The record is from RNAcentral.